RNAcentral lists this ribosomal RNA (480 nucleotides) under uncultured bacterium. Its description in RNAcentral is "partial 16S ribosomal RNA". It matches the Rfam family "Bacterial small subunit ribosomal RNA", at positions 28 to 507 of the family's 1533-position model. The record is from RNAcentral.
GACGAACGCUGGCGGCGUGCUUAACACAUGCAAGUCGAACGAUGAAGAAAAGAAUUGAAGCUUCGGCAGAAAUUCAUUUCGGAUUAGUGGCAGACGGGUGAGUAACGCGUGAGCAACCUACCUCUUACAAAGGGAUAGCCUCGGGAAACCGGGAUUAAUACCAUAUAACAUUGCGACGAAGCAUUUCGAUGCAAUCAAAGCUACGGCGGUAAGAGAUGGGCUCGCGUCCCAUUAACCAGAUGGUGAGGUAACGGCUCACCAUAGUAACGAUGGGUAACCGGCCUGAGAGGGUGAACGGUCACACUGGAACUGAGACACGGUCCAGACUCCUACGGGAGGCAGCAGUGGGGAAUAUUGCACAAUGGAGUGAACUCUGAUGCAGCGACCCCGCGUGAGUGAUGAAGGAAUUCGUUUCGUAAAACUCUGUUCUAUGGGAAGAAAAGGACUGUACCAUAGGAGAAAGCUCCGGCUAAAUACGUG